AUGAACCUUUGAGGGUUGAGCUGGCGUUUAUUCGCAUGUGCUUGCCCUCUCAUCCUUUAUACACCUGUGCACUUUUGAAGGGAGACAAUUAGUAGACAUUCACUUGUCGAAGGUAUCUCCCUUUACCACUACAUACUCUAAUGAUUACUUUGAAUGUUUAAACGCUUAACAGCAUUUAAUUA
Molecule: unclassified non-coding RNA, 182 nt
Filed under: soil metagenome
Description: partial internal transcribed spacer 1
Source: RNAcentral